This 411-nucleotide ribosomal RNA is filed under the name uncultured bacterium. RNAcentral's name for it is "bacterial SSU rRNA". It matches the Rfam family "Bacterial small subunit ribosomal RNA", at positions 147 to 556 of the family's 1533-position model. The record is from RNAcentral.
CCCGAAGAAAUUUGGAUUAAUACCCCAUAAUAUUAUUGGAUGGCAUCAUUUGAUAAUUAAAACUGCGGUGGUGAAAGAUGGGCAUGCGUCCUAUUAGCUAGUUGGAGUGGUAACGGCACCCCAAGGCUACGAUAGGUAGGGGUCCUGAGAGGGAGAUCCCCCACACUGGUACUGAGACAGGGACCAGACUCUUACGGGAGGCAGCAGUGAGGAAUAUUGGUCAAUGGUCGGAAGACUGAACCAGCCAUGCCGCGUGCAGGAAGAAUGCCUUAUGGGUUGUAAACUGCUUUUAUAUGGGAAGAAUAAGGCGUACGUGUACGUUGAUGACGGUACCAUAUGAAUAAGCAUCGGCUAACUCCGUGCCGNCAGCCGCGGUAAUACGGAGGAUGCGAGCGUUAUUCAGAAUCAUUG